CGUGGGGAUUCGUCCCCAUUGAGAUAGCACCCUUUGUUCAUGAGUACCCUUGUUUCCUCGGCGGGCCUGCCCGCCAGUAGGACAAUAUCAAAACCCUUUUGCAGUAGUAGUAACUUCAGUUAAUAAACAAAUAUUAAAACUUUCAACAACGGAUCUCUUGGUUCUGGCAUCGAUGAAGAACGCAGCGAAAUGCGAUAAGUAGUGUGAAUUGCAGAAUUCAGUGAAUCAUCGAAUCUUUGAACGCACAUUGCGCCCUUCGGUAUUCCGUUGGGCAUGCCUGUUCGAGCGUCAUUUAAACCUUCAAGCUAUGCUUGGUGUUGGGUGUUUGUCCCGCCUCAGCGCGUGGACUCGCCUCAAAUCCAUUGGCAGCCGGUAUGUUGGCUUCGUGCGCAGCACAUUGCAAGCGGAACUCAGCAGACCUCCUCCCACAAGCCCUU
Molecule: ribosomal RNA, 437 nt
Filed under: Xenostigmina zilleri
Lineage: Eukaryota; Fungi; Ascomycota; Dothideomycetes; Mycosphaerellales; Mycosphaerellaceae
Description: eukaryotic LSU rRNA
Rfam family: 5.8S ribosomal RNA (bases 138-291)
Source: RNAcentral